AUGCGGUUUCCGAGGCUCUUUACGAGUUGUGACGACCCGACUGUUCUUGCUUCUGCGGCUGCUUUGGAUGAGGGAUGGAACAUUGCGUUCUGCCGCUCAUUCGGACCAGCUGAGGUGCAGGAAUGGGCAGACUUGAGGGAAGUAGUCCCUCUUCCUCUGUCCCAGGAUCCUGACACUGUUUCUUGGAGUCUUUCUCCUUCGGGAGAAUUCUCUGUAAAUUCCGCUUAUCAGGCGCUAUGCCGGCUGCCGGUUCUCCAGUGGUUAUCCCCAUUGUGGAAGGCGCCGAUGCCCCUGAAGAUCAAGAUUUUCGUGUGGCAGCUUCUCAGAGAUCGUUUACCUUCGGGGACUGAGGUGCUGAAAUGCCAUGGUCCGGGCAAUGGCCUUUGCCCCCUUUGCCUCGUCCCAGAAACGGGAACGCACAUUUUGUUCUCGUGUGUAGCACCACAUGCACUUUGGUGCUUUGUUCGUGAGGCUCUGGGACCGGAUUGGGAGGCCCAUGACCUUGCAGAGUUUCUGCGUAAGGGCCACUCAGGUUGGCCAUAA
Molecule: ribosomal RNA, 543 nt
Filed under: Triticum aestivum (bread wheat)
Lineage: Eukaryota; Viridiplantae; Streptophyta; Magnoliopsida; Poales; Poaceae
Description: partial small subunit ribosomal RNA
Source: RNAcentral